AACUGCGAGUGAAGCGGGAAAAGCUCAAAUUUAAAAUCUAAUGGUCUUUUUGGCCGUUCGAGUUGUAAUUUAGAGAAGCGUCUUCCGCGCCAGACCAUGUACAAGUCUCCUGGAACGGAGCGUCGUAGAGGGUGAGAAUCCCGUCUUUGACAUGGACCCUCGGUGCUUCUGUGAUGCGCUCUCAAAGAGUCGAGUUGUUUGGGAAUGCAGCUCAAAAUGGGUGGUGAACUCCAUCUAAGGCUAAAUAUUGGCGAGAGACCGAUAGCGAACAAGUACCGUGAGGGAAAGAUGAAAAGCACUUUGGAAAGAGAGUGAAACAGUACGUGAAAUUGUUGAAAGGGAAACACUUGAAGUCAGUCGCGUCGAUCAAGACUCAGCCUUGCCCUCGGCUUGGCGUACUUCUUGACUUGACGGGCCAGCAUCAAUUUUGUCCCUCGGAUAAUGGCAGGGGAAAGGUGGCACCUUCACGGGUGUGUUAUAGUCUCUUGUCGCAUACGAGGGGUGGGAUUGAGGAACUCAGCACGCGCUUCACGGCGUCGGGGCUUCGGCCC
This 551-nucleotide ribosomal RNA is filed under the name Lactifluus koreanus. Its description in RNAcentral is "Lactifluus sp. 9 HL-2019 partial large subunit ribosomal RNA". It matches the Rfam family "Eukaryotic large subunit ribosomal RNA", at positions 85 to 631 of the family's 3401-position model. The record is from RNAcentral. Lineage: Eukaryota; Fungi; Basidiomycota; Agaricomycetes; Russulales; Russulaceae.